This 253-nucleotide ribosomal RNA is filed under the name uncultured bacterium. RNAcentral describes it as "partial 16S ribosomal RNA". It matches the Rfam family "Bacterial small subunit ribosomal RNA", at positions 524 to 776 of the family's 1533-position model. The record is from RNAcentral.
UACGAAGGGGGCUAGCGUUGCUCGGAAUCACUGGGCGUAAAGCGCACGUAGGCGGUUCGCUAAGUCAGGGGUGAAAUCCUGGAGCUCAACUCCAGAACUGCCUGUGAUACUGGCAAUCUCGAGUCCGGGAGAGGUGAGUGGAACUGCGAGUGUAGAGGUGAAAUUCGUAGAUAUUCGCAGGAACACCAGUGGCGAAGGCGGCUCACUGGCCCGGUACUGACGCUGAGGUGCGAAAGCGUGGGGAGCAAACAGG